This 515-nucleotide ribosomal RNA is filed under the name uncultured bacterium. RNAcentral's name for it is "partial 16S ribosomal RNA". It matches the Rfam family "Bacterial small subunit ribosomal RNA", at positions 28 to 523 of the family's 1533-position model. The record is from RNAcentral.
GACGAACGCUGGCGGCGUGCCUAAUACAUGCAAGUCGAGCGGACUUUCAAGAAGCUUGCUUUUUGAAAGUUAGCGGCGGACGGGUGAGUAACACAUGGGCAACCUGCCUGUAAGACGGGGAUAACUCCGGGAAACCGGGGCUAAUACCGGAUAAUAUUUUUCUUCGCAUGAAGGACGGUUGAAAGGCGGCGCAAGCUGCCGCUUGCAGAUGGGCCCGCGGCGCAUUAGCUAGUUGGUGAGGUAACGGCUCACCAAGGCGACGAUGCGUAGCCGACCUGAGAGGGUGAUCGGCCACACUGGGACUGAGACACGGCCCAGACUCCUACGGGAGGCAGCAGUAGGGAAUCUUCCGCAAUGGACGAAAGUCUGACGGAGCAACGCCGCGUGAGCGAAGAAGGUCUUCGGAUCGUAAAGCUCUGUUGUCAGGGAAGAACAAGUACCGUUCGAAUAGGGCGGUACCUUGACGGUACCUGACCAGCAAGCCACGGCUAACUACGUGCCAGCCGCCGCGGUAA